GGUUUUAUGGUGUAACGGUUACCACUCCAGACUCUGAAUCUGGCGAUCUGGGUUCGAAUCCCAGUAAAACUU
Perkinsus marinus ATCC 50983 is the source of this 72-nucleotide non-coding RNA. The record is from Rfam. NCBI's taxonomy places the organism in Eukaryota, Perkinsozoa, Perkinsida, Perkinsidae.